This 368-nucleotide ribosomal RNA is filed under the name uncultured organism. RNAcentral describes it as "partial 16S ribosomal RNA". It matches the Rfam family "Bacterial small subunit ribosomal RNA", at positions 527 to 896 of the family's 1533-position model. The record is from RNAcentral.
GGAUGGGGCUAGCGUUGUUCGGAAUUACUGGGCGUAAAGGGCGCGUAGGCGGCCAUUUAAGUUAGACGUGAAAGCCCUGGGCUUAACCUAGGAACUGCGUUUAAUACUGGAUGGCUAGAGAUUGGUAGAGGAAAGCGGAAUUCCUAGUGUAGAGGUGAAAUUCGUAGAUAUUAGGAAGAACACCAGAGGCGAAGGCGGCUUUCUGGACCAAUACUGACGCUGAGGCGCGAAAGCGUGGGGAGCAAACAGGAUUAGAUACCCUGGGUAGUCCACGCCGUAAACGAUGAAUGCUAAACGUCGGGAAUUUAUUUUCGGUGUUGCAGCUAACGCAUUAAGCAUUCCGCCUGGGGAGUACGGUCGCAAGAUUA